AAUUGGAUUUGUCAUAAUCAUCUUAAAACCUUAUCCACAAAAAUUUAUUUUGGGGCUUCAAUGGCCUCAAAAACAUCAUCCAGACAUCCACAAACUACUACAAACUUUAGCAUAUGAAACUCUGAAACAAUAUUAGCUCAAGCUCAAUGGCUUUAUUUUAGGACCUUCAAUCUUCCAUUGAUGCUUCCAGCAUUGAACUGGUGGUUGCAACUUGCAACUCCAUUUGAAGAUGUCGAAACAGAUGAGGGACCAUCAUAAGCCUCAAAUUUAAAAGGGGAACCAAUUCAUAUUCUCCACUCAUGUUCUUGAGAAGUUAACCAUUGAAGCUUGAGAAGAGAUGGUAAUAGGCAAGUAAUAAACAAUGGUGGGUUUAAAGUUCAAACCAAUCGCAAGUAGGUGAUAAUUCGAACUACAGAAACUAAUCAGGUUACCUUGGAUGGCAAUAUUACUGACUAAAAAGAAGUUUGUUUGUUGGGUUUACCUGUGAAUACAAGAAGGUUCCAAGGAUAGCGAUGGCAGCUCCGAGUGCAUUGACGGGUUGAACUGGUGUAUGGAAGAUAAUGAUUGAAGAAACUAUAACAGAUAUACGCUUCAUGGUGUUUCCAAUGCUAAAUGUCAAAGGAGAGAUCUCAUCCAAAGACAUGUAGGACACCUGAUUGUACAAAUGAUAAAAUACGCUCUGAGCCGCCAACCACC
Long non-coding RNA from Arachis stenosperma, 696 nucleotides. RefSeq lists it as uncharacterized. The transcript has 2 exons. NCBI's taxonomy places the organism in Eukaryota, Viridiplantae, Streptophyta, Magnoliopsida, Fabales, Fabaceae. The record is from RefSeq and is a predicted model, not a curated record.